This 275-nucleotide ribosomal RNA is filed under the name uncultured bacterium. RNAcentral's name for it is "partial 16S ribosomal RNA". It matches the Rfam family "Bacterial small subunit ribosomal RNA", at positions 399 to 691 of the family's 1533-position model. The record is from RNAcentral.
GCGUGAGUGAAGAAGGCCUUCGGGUUGUAAAGCUCUUUUACCCGGGAAGAUAAUGACGGUACCGGGAGAAUAAGCCCCGGCUAACUCCGUGCCAGCAGCCGCGGUAAUACGGAGGGGGCUAGCGUUGUUCGGAAUUACUGGGCGUAAAGCGCGCGUAGGCGGCUGUCCAAGUCAGGGGUGAAAGCCCGCGGCUCAACCGCGGAACUGCCCUUGAAACUGGACGGCUUGAACACGGGAGAGGUGAGUGGAAUUCCGAGUGUAGAGGUGAAAUUCGU